RNAcentral lists this unclassified non-coding RNA (159 nucleotides) under uncultured Helotiales. RNAcentral's name for it is "sequence contains ITS1". Lineage: Eukaryota; Fungi; Ascomycota; Leotiomycetes; Helotiales. The record is from RNAcentral.
CAGAGUUCAUGCCCUCACGGGUAGAUCUCCCACCCAAUGUUAUCUUACUUUUGUUGCUUCGGCGGGCCGCCUAUGGCCACCGGCUUUGGCUGGUGAGUGCCCGCCAGAAGACCCCAAAACUCUGAAUGUUAGUGUCGUCUGAGUACUAUACAAUAGUUA